GAUGAACGCUAGCUAUAGGCUUAACACAUGCAAGUCGAGGGGUAACAUGAUUAAAGCUUGCUUUAAUUGAUGACGACCGGCGGAUGGGUGAGUAACACGUAUCCAACCUACCGUAUACACGGGGAUAGCCUUUCGAAAGAAAGAUUAAUACCCGAUGGUGUAAUGAAAGCGCAUGCUUUUAUUGCUAAAGAUUUAUUGGUAUAUGAUGGGGAUGCGUUCCAUUAGAUAGUUGGUAGGGUAACGGCCUACCAAGUCAGCGAUGGAUAGGGGUUCUGAGAGGAAGACCCCCCACAUUGGAACUGAGACACGGUCCAAACUCCUACGGGAGGCAGCAGUGGGGGAAUAUUGCACAAUGGGGGAAACCCUGAUGCAGCGACGCCGUCGUGAACGAAGAAGUAUUUCGGUAUGUAAAGUUCUAUCAGCAGGGAAGAUAAUGACGGUACCUGACUAAGAAGCACCGGCUAAAUACGUG
This 472-nucleotide ribosomal RNA is filed under the name uncultured bacterium. Its description in RNAcentral is "bacterial SSU rRNA". It matches the Rfam family "Bacterial small subunit ribosomal RNA", at positions 28 to 507 of the family's 1533-position model. The record is from RNAcentral.